This is a long non-coding RNA of Cherax quadricarinatus, 390 nucleotides long. RefSeq lists it as uncharacterized. NCBI's taxonomy places the organism in Eukaryota, Metazoa, Arthropoda, Malacostraca, Decapoda, Parastacidae. The record is from RefSeq and is a predicted model, not a curated record.
AUCUUACCCGUCUAUGAGGUAGUGUCGGGUUGAGGCCCGCCGGUCCAAAGUCAAGGUCAACCUUAGGAAGAUGAAUGUGUUGGAGAUCUUCCCCUCCCUGAUAACACUAAGUCCAUCUGGCCACACCAGAUAAGAUGACAGUGCUAAAGAUGCUUCUUUAGACGCGAGAAGACCUGUAGACGUCUGCACAAGCUUGAACCUUGGAUGGGAGUUUCCCUUCCCGCAUUCAAGUACAUGACUUCCUGAACUGAUAACUCUUAAUGUGUUUAAACUGUGGAUGAAAACAAGAAAUACUGCCAUCACCACAUCUUUCACUCCAUGGGAGAACAUCAACCAGCUUAACCAAACCUAGUUAGCUGGAGAUAAACAAAUUAAAACCAACACAAUUCA